AGGGUUAGCCAAUUCUUGCCUGAAUUUCUCAAAUUGGACCUCUUGAAGAAGGAGCAGUGCUUCGACAUCUUCAACAGUCGGAGUUUCAAAUCUGCUAUAAAUCAUCAUCACGAAUGAAUUGAACUCCUCUGGUAAUCCUUCAAGAAUAGCAUCUACCUGUUCUUGCACAGAAACGACAUCUCCUACUGCAAUUAGAGAAUUGACGAUCGAUUUGAUUCGCAGU
RNAcentral lists this long non-coding RNA (223 nucleotides) under Trifolium pratense (red clover). Its description in RNAcentral is "long non-coding RNA (TPRA_LNC012614)". The record is from RNAcentral. Lineage: Eukaryota; Viridiplantae; Streptophyta; Magnoliopsida; Fabales; Fabaceae.